This is a long non-coding RNA of Gigantopelta aegis, 276 nucleotides long. RefSeq lists it as uncharacterized. NCBI's taxonomy places the organism in Eukaryota, Metazoa, Mollusca, Gastropoda, Neomphalida, Peltospiridae. The transcript is spliced from 3 exons. The record is from RefSeq and is a predicted model, not a curated record.
AACCAAGGAAAGAAAACACAACCGUGCUCCCUGCCGGAAGAUAUUUGGUGUAGUACUACCUAAAACACCAUGAUCACAGUGCAGGGGGCAAUGUCAGCAUGUUUGUGAAGGGAUGUUCCACAAUGAAGUUGGAAAGUAUAAAGUUACACAAAGAGAGUGAGGCACACAAGACUGCUGUCCUAAAGAAAAUGGGAGAAGAAGCUACCCCAGGGACAACAUAAUAAAUACAAUUUAAUUACAACAGUUUGUAAUAAAAUUAAAACAAGUUCUUUUUCC